UGGUUUAGAAUAUUACAGUGGCAAUACUGUAUUUUCCAAGAUUAUUCGUUGUAUCGUUCACGGGUGCCUAGCAAACGCAUUCGUCGGUACUCUUUUUCGAGGUGCGUGCAGUCACUGUAGCAGAUCGGCAAAAGGAAAUGCAACGGGAAGGAAAUUUACGAUUCUCGAGAAAUAAUAGCAAGGGUCUGCAGGUACAGAAGAAACGAAAUUAUACUCGGUAUGCAAUAUGGACCGAUGCGCACCUUGUGGAUAAAAACGGUCGACGUAA
Long non-coding RNA from Bombus pascuorum, 268 nucleotides. RefSeq lists it as uncharacterized. The record is from RefSeq and is a predicted model, not a curated record. NCBI's taxonomy places the organism in Eukaryota, Metazoa, Arthropoda, Insecta, Hymenoptera, Apidae. The transcript is spliced from 3 exons.